This 468-nucleotide ribosomal RNA is filed under the name uncultured bacterium. RNAcentral describes it as "partial 16S ribosomal RNA". It matches the Rfam family "Bacterial small subunit ribosomal RNA", at positions 28 to 507 of the family's 1533-position model. The record is from RNAcentral.
GACGAACGCUGGCGGCGUGCUUAACACAUGCAAGUCGAACGGAAAGGCCCUGCUUUUGUGGGGUGCUCGAGUGGCGAACGGGUGAGUAACACGUGAGUAACCUGCCCUUGACUUUGGGAUAACUUCAGGAAACUGGGGCUAAUACCGGAUAGGAGCUCCUGCUGCAUGGUGGGGGUUGGAAAGUUUCGGCGGUUGGGGAUGGACUCGCGGCUUAUCAGCUUGUUGGGGGGGUAGUGGCUUACCAAGGCUUUGACGGGUAGCCGGCCUGGGAGGGUGACCGGCCACAUUGGGACUGAGAUACGGCCCAGACUGCUACGGGAGGCAGCAGUGGGGAAUAUUGCACAAUGGGCGGAAGCCUGAUGCAGCAACGCCGCGUGCGGGAUGACGGCCUUCGGGUUGUAAACCGCUUUCGCCUGUGACGAAGCGUGAGUGACGGUAAUGGGUAAAGAAGCACCGGCUAACUACGUG